Amaranthus tricolor (Joseph's coat) is the source of this 1027-nucleotide long non-coding RNA. RefSeq lists it as uncharacterized. Lineage: Eukaryota; Viridiplantae; Streptophyta; Magnoliopsida; Caryophyllales; Amaranthaceae. The transcript has 3 exons. The record is from RefSeq and is a predicted model, not a curated record.
UGUUGUACUCAUUCAAAAAUUCCGGUAUUUUGCAAACCCUAACCCAUGUUCUUCUUCUUCUUCAGCCACACCGUACCCUAACCCCCGUUCUUCUUCAGCGACCCCUAACCCCUGUUCUUCUUCUUCUUCAGCAACCGGCCGGCCACAGUGAAGCAGGUGGGACGAUUUCAGCUUGUUGUAAUUUGCACGAUUGUUCUUCAUCCCGCAUUUUGUGUUGUAUUGACGAUUGUUCUUCAUCCUCCAUUAUUGGCCAUUGUUCUUCAUAACAGUUGUUGUCCUUCAUAACGACCAUUGUUCUUCAUAACGGCCGGCCACAGUGAAGCAGUUGUUGUCCUCCAAAUCAGUGUGGACGAUUUGGCCUUCCAAAACGGUGUUGUAUUUUGGACGAAAUCAAUUCUUCAUCCCGCAGCACUGAUUUUCUUCCAAAUCAGUUAGGUUUUUGGUACCAUCAGCAUUGGUACCAUCCGACCUCAUAUGGUGUAGGCCCGGACUCAUGAUCAAUAUGCAAAUGCUAAUGGUGAUGCAAUGAGAGGGAACUUGUGUUAUUGUUCCUGAAUUGAAGUGUGUUUUUGAUAUUGGGAGGUGCCCUUUGCAUGCUGUUCAUCAAAAUUUUGUCUUUAUUACUCAUGCUCAUCUUGAUCAUAUUAUUUUUGCAGCUGAUGUUCAUAUUAUGGCCAACAAAUCAUCUUUUGCGAAGGUCUUGGUGCUAGAGUGGAAAUUGCAACAUAAUAAAAACAAUUCUGCAGGCCUUCAACGUGUAUGUGAAUAUUGAUCAAAUUAAGCACAUAUGUUGCUUGGACUUUUUUGACCAAGCUACAAAAACUUAAGGUCAAAGCUAAAUCACUGAAUGUAUGUGCGUAUAUGAAUAUCAAAUGCUAAUACUUUUGUGGAUAUGAUUGAUUUGGUAUGAUAUUCAUUAGUAAUUAUGUAUGUUUGAUGAAUUUAAUAUAGUAUGGAAAAUAAAUACAUUUUCAACGCAUGUAAAUGUCUAAAGCAUAUAUCUAGAUAUCAAGGGCUUUAAAGGGUU